GGACCCGCACAAGCAGUGGAGUAUGUUGUUUAAUUCGACGCAACGCGAAGAACCUUACCAGGGUUUGACAUCCUUGGAAUCGGGCAGAGAUGCCUGAGUGCCCUUCGGGGAACCAAGAGACAGGUGGUGCAUGGUUGUCGUCAGCUCGUGUCGUGAGAUGUUGGGUUAAGUCCCGCAACGAGCGCAACCCUUAUGGUUAGUUGCUACGCAAGAGCACUCUAGCCAGACUGCCGUUGACAAAACGGAGGAAGGUGGGGACGACGUCAAAUCAUCAUGCCUUUUAUAUCCUGGGCUACAAACGUACUACAAUGGCGGUCAUACAGAGGGAGGCAAAGCAGUGAUGUGGAGCGAAUCCCUAAAAGCCGCCUCAGUUCAGAUUGCAGGCUGCAACCCGCCUGCAUGAAGUCGGAAUUGCUAGUAAUCGCGGAUCAGCAUGCCGCGGUGAAUACGUUCCCGGGUCUU
RNAcentral lists this ribosomal RNA (462 nucleotides) under uncultured bacterium. RNAcentral's name for it is "bacterial SSU rRNA". It matches the Rfam family "Bacterial small subunit ribosomal RNA", at positions 917 to 1382 of the family's 1533-position model. The record is from RNAcentral.